AUUUGCUGCCACUGGGGACAUGAGAUUGCUUCCAUGGAAACAGAACCAUGGAUUGUUUUUCCAGAAAACGUCUCAAUCUAAUUUGUGUGGAGCUGCACUGUGUGUGUGCGCGCGCACGUGUGUGUGGAGUGUUUUAGUCACAGAACAGGGGUGAGAAGAGGAAGGGAGCAUUUACAUGGAACCCCCAAUUUUCCUUGAAUCCCAGGGAGUUAAUUAUUUCAGGAGUCUUGGAUUUUAUGCAAUGGAACAACAGGCCAGACUCCCAGCAAUAAAGAAGCCAAAGAGAGUUGGUACCUCAGUGAUGAGAAUGAAGUUGGCCUAUGCUGCCCUCCUGAAGCCCCAACUGAUGGCUGAGCUCUUAGCAAUGUGCCAAGCCAGUGGAUAUGCCUUCAGGAGCUUGGCCCAAAGCAAGUAAGCAAAUAAUUGUUGAACGACC
RNAcentral lists this long non-coding RNA (436 nucleotides) under Vulpes vulpes (red fox). RNAcentral's name for it is "lncRNA (ENSVVUG00000004031.1)". The record is from RNAcentral. Lineage: Eukaryota; Metazoa; Chordata; Mammalia; Carnivora; Canidae.